UAAGACAGAGGGUGCAAACGUUGUUCGGAAUUACUGGGCGUAAAGCGCGUGUAGGCGGUUUGGUAAGUCGGAUGUGAAAGCCCGGGGCUCAACCCCGGAAGUGCAUUCGAUACUACUGAACUCGAGUACUGGAGAGGAUGGUGGAACUCUCGGUGUAGAGGUGAAAUUCGUAGAUAUCGAGAAGAACACCGGUGGCGAAGGCGGCCAUCUGGACAGAUACUGACGCUGAGACGCGAAAGCGUGGGGAGCAAACAGGAUUAGAUACCCUGGUAGUCCACGCCGUAAACGAUGGGUGCUAGGUGUCACGGGUAUUGACCCCUGUGGUGCCGAAGCUAACGCAUUAAGCACCCCGCCUGGGAAGUACGGCCGCAAGGCUAAAACUCAAAGGAAUUGACGGGGCCCGCACAAGCGGUGGAGCAUGUGGUUUAAUUCGACGCAACGCGAAGAACCUUACCUGGGCUAGAACUCACAAGAAUCCUGCGGAAACGUGGGAGUGCUCGCAAGAGAACUUGUGGUGA
This 518-nucleotide ribosomal RNA is filed under the name uncultured Byssovorax sp. RNAcentral's name for it is "bacterial SSU rRNA". It matches the Rfam family "Bacterial small subunit ribosomal RNA", at positions 521 to 1036 of the family's 1533-position model. Lineage: Bacteria; Pseudomonadati; Myxococcota; Polyangiales; Polyangiaceae. The record is from RNAcentral.